Non-coding RNA from Stegodyphus mimosarum, 73 nucleotides. Lineage: Eukaryota; Metazoa; Arthropoda; Arachnida; Araneae; Eresidae. The record is from Rfam.
GCCUUCGUGGUGUAGUGGUCAGCACGCUCGACGCGUAACCGAGAGGUCCGUGGUUCGAUUCAGGGCGAAGGCG